Molecule: ribosomal RNA, 373 nt
Filed under: uncultured bacterium
Lineage: Bacteria
Description: bacterial SSU rRNA
Rfam family: Bacterial small subunit ribosomal RNA
Source: RNAcentral
GACGAACGCUGGCGGCGUGCUUAACACAUGCAAGUCGAACGAUGAAGCCCAGCUUGCUGGGUGGAUUAGUGGCGAACGGGUGAGUAACACGUGGGUGAUCUGCCCUACACUCUGGGAUAAGCCUGGGAAACUGGGUCUAAUACCGGAUAUGACCUCUUGCUGCAUGGCGAGGGGUGGAAAGUUUUUCGGUGCAGGAUGAGCCCGCGGCCUAUCAGCUUGUUGGUGGGGUAAUGGCCUACCAAGGCGACGACGGGUAGCCGGCCUGAGAGGGCGACCGGCCACACUGGGGCUGAGACACGGGCCCAGACUCCUACGGGAGGCAGCAGUGGGGAAUAUUGCACAAUGGGCGAAAGCCUGAUGCAGCGACGCCGCG